Molecule: RNase P RNA, 398 nt
Filed under: Candidatus Omnitrophota bacterium
Lineage: Bacteria; Pseudomonadati; Candidatus Omnitrophota
Description: Candidatus Omnitrophica bacterium RNase P RNA component class A
Rfam family: Bacterial RNase P class A
About the family: Ribonuclease P (RNase P) is a ubiquitous endoribonuclease, found in archaea, bacteria and eukarya as well as chloroplasts and mitochondria. Its best characterised activity is the generation of mature 5'-ends of tRNAs by cleaving the 5'-leader elements of precursor-tRNAs. Cellular RNase Ps are ribonucleoproteins.
Source: RNAcentral
UUGCAGGUGCGGAUGGCCGCCCCGAAGGUAGGACUUCUAUGAAGAUUCUACAGUCGGGGAGGAAAGUCCGAGCUCCGCAGGGCACCGUAACGGGUAACACCCGCCCCCUUUACAUUUAAUAUAUUAAAUGUAAAGGGCGGAUAAGAGCCACAGAGACGAGUCCUUAGAGGCCUAACAGGCCAAACAAGGAGUGAAACGAGGCAAUCUCUACGGGGAGCAAGGCCAAAUAGGCCCUGACAUAAGUACGGCCCGUACUUAAGAUUCAGGGCGGGUAGGCUGCUACUUCCGGAAUUGACCGGAGAGGACCCUGUCAGCAAUGGCAGGGCUAGAUAGAUGGCCAUCAUAGUAAACACAUUUGUGUUCACUAACAGAACUCGGCUUAUAGCACCUGCUUUUGA